AGUGAACGCUGGCGGUAUGCCUAACACAUGCAAGUCGAACGGCAGCACAGUAAGAGCUUGCUCUUACGGGUGGCGAGUGGCGGACGGGUGAGGAAUACAUCGGAAUCUACUUUUUCGUGGGGGAUAACGUAGGGAAACUUACACUACUACCGCAUACGACCUACGGGUGAAAGCAGGGGAUCUUCGGACCUUGCGCGAUUGACUGAGCCGAUGUCGGAUUAGCUAGUUGGGGGGGUAAAGGCCCACCAAGGCGACGAUCCGUAGCUGGUCUGAGAGGAUGAUCAGCCACACUGGAACUGAGACACGGUCCAGACUCCUACGGGAGGCAGCAGUGGGGAAUAUUGGACAAUGGGCGCAAGCCUGAUCCAGCCAUACCGCGUGGGUGAAGAAGGCCUUCGGGUUGUAAAGCCCUUUUGUUGGGAAAGAAAAGCAGCAGGUUAAUACCCCGCUGUUCUGACGGUACCCAAAGAAUAAGCACCGGCUAACUUCGUG
Molecule: ribosomal RNA, 492 nt
Filed under: uncultured bacterium
Lineage: Bacteria
Description: partial 16S ribosomal RNA
Rfam family: Bacterial small subunit ribosomal RNA
Source: RNAcentral